GGUGAAAAGCACCCCGGAAGGGGAGUGAAAUAGAACCUGAAACCGUGUGCUUACAAGUAGUCAGAGCCCGUUAAUGGGUGAUGGCGUGCCUUUUGUAGAAUGAACCGGCGAGUUACGAUUUGAUGCAAGGUUAAGCAGUAAAUGUGGAGCCGUAGCGAAAGCGAGUCUGAAUAGGGCGUUUAGUAUUUGGUCGUAGACCCGAAACCAGGUGAUCUACCCUUGGUCAGGUUGAAGUUCAGGUAACACUGAAUGGAGGACCGAACCGACUUACGUUGAAAAGUGAGCGGAUGAACUGAGGGUAGCGGAGAAAUUCCAAUCGAACCUGGAGAUAGCUGGUUCUCUCCGAAAUAGCUUUAGGGCUAGCCUCAAGUGAUGAUUAUUGGAGGUAGAGCACUGUUUGGACGAGGGGCCCCUCUCGGGUUACCGAAUUCAGACAAACUCCGAAUGCCAAUUAAUUUAACUUGGGAGUCAGAACAUGGGUGAUAAGGUCCGUGUUCGAAAGGGAAACAGCCCAGACCACCAGCUAAGGUCCCAAAAUAUAUGUUAAGUGGAAAAGGAUGUGGCGUUGCCCAGACAACUAGGAUGUUGGCUUAGAAGCAGCCAUCAUUUAAAGAGUGCGUAAUAGCUCACUAGUCGAGUGACACUGCGCCGAAAAUGUACCGGGGCUAAACAUAUUACCGAAGCUGUGGAUUGUCCUUUGGACAAUGGUAGGAGAGCGUUCUAAGGGCGUUGAAGCAUGAUCGUAAGGACAUGUGGAGCGCUUAGAAGUGAGAAUGCCGGUGUGAGUAGCGAAAGACGGGUGAGAAUCCCGUCCACCGAUUGACUAAGGUUUCCAGAGGAAGGCUCGUCCGCUCUGGGUUAGUCGGGUCCUAAGCUGAGGCCGACAGGCGUAGGCGAUGGAUAACAGGUUGAUAUUCCUGUACCACCUAUAAUCGUUUUAAUCGAUGGGGGGACGCAGUAGGAUAGGCGAAGCGUGCGAUUGGAUUGCACGUCUAAGCAGUAAGGCUGAGUAUUAGGCAAAUCCGGUACUCAUUAAGGCUGAGCUGUGAUGGGGAGAAGACAUUGUGUCUUCGAGUCGUUGAUUUCACACUGCCGAGAAAAGCCUCUAGAUAGAAAAUAGGUGCCCGUACCGCAAACCGACACAGGUAGUCAAGAUGAGAAUUCUAAGGUGAGCGAGCGAACUCUCGUUAAGGAACUCGGCAAAAUGACCCCGUAACUUCGGGAGAAGGGGUGCUCUUUAGGGUUAACGCCCAGAAGAGCCGCAGUGAAUAGGCCCAAGCGACUGUUUAUCAAAAACACAGGUCUCUGCUAAACCGUAAGGUGAUGUAUAGGGGCUGACGCCUGCCCGGUGCUGGAAGGUUAAGAGGAGUGGUUAGCUUCUGCGAAGCUACGAAUCGAAGCCCCAGUAAACGGCGGCCGUAACUAUAACGGUCCUAAGGUAGCGAAAUUCCUUGUCGGGUAAGUUCCGACCCGCACGAAAGGCGUAACGAUUUGGGCACUGUCUCAACGAGAGACUCGGUGAAAUCAUAGUACCUGUGAAGAUGCAGGUUACCCGCGACAGGACGGAAAGACCCCGUGGAGCUUUACUGUAGCCUGAUAUUGAAAUUCGGCACAGCUUGUACAGGAUAGGUAGGAGCCUUUGAAACGUGAGCGCUAGCUUACGUGGAGGCGCUGGUGGGAUACUACCCUAGCUGUGUUGGCUUUCUAAC
Molecule: ribosomal RNA, 1709 nt
Filed under: Staphylococcus aureus
Lineage: Bacteria; Bacillati; Bacillota; Bacilli; Caryophanales; Staphylococcaceae
Description: partial 23S ribosomal RNA
Rfam family: Bacterial large subunit ribosomal RNA
Source: RNAcentral